CGCCGCCACUCACCCGCGCGCCGGCCGAGCCGAGCCGCCGCCGCCACCACCGGGCCGGGCCGGGUCGGGCCUGCGCGCCCCGCGCUACACAAAGUGACGGCCCCAGAGCUGCGCGGCGGCGGCGCGUGGGCACCGGAAGUGCCGCCGCCGGCCCCGCCCCGCCCGCGCACACGGGGGGGGCACUUCCGGUCACGCGGGGUCGAGCGCGGCUCCCGCAGGGGGCGUGCGUGGGGGCAAAGGAAGCUCCGCGCGUGCGGGGGAGCCUUUCGGCCCCGGCCCGCCCCGGGGGACUUCAGUGUCCCAUGCCUGGGGACCGCAGCGCCCUCUGACCCGAGACCCCAACCCCGGGGACCCCGGUGCCCCCUGCCCCGAGACCCCGGUCCCACCCCUGGGGACCCCAUCGCCCCCUGCCUCCAGACCCCAGCCACACCCCUGGGGGCCGCAGCGCCCCCUGCCCCGAGACCCCGGCCCCACCCUGAGGGACCCUGCUGCUCCACCCCUGGGCACCGCAGCUCCCGCUGCCCUGGAGACGCCGGCCCCACCCCUGGGGACCCCGGCGCCCUCUGCCCCUUGAGACGUGCGCGAGGUCCCGCGGCCCUGAGCGCGCGCGCCCCGUCCCGAAACCCGGCUCCCCUUCCUCAUCCGACCAUGAUUCAGGGAGCGGCUGCUGGCUGCCAGACCUGCCCUCGGCACCCUCCCCAGGCCCCACGACGAUGGAGGGAGGCGAUGACCCCCUACGGGGUCUCGUGGAGGCGUCCCUCUGGCCAGCGUGCUGUGAGACUCAGACGAGGUGGGGCGAUCCCUGGCCGCUGAUGGAUCGCCCAGACUGGAACCAGUGGGCCCGGGGUCCACAGCUCACCGGCCCUGCUUCCUGGGCCACUAGUGCGGGCAGGGCCAACGCUGGGUAAGCGUCGGGGAGGGUACCCCGGAAUGGGGGAGGACGAGGACUGAAGGAGCCAGUGGGCCGGGUACCUGAAGGUUUUCGAAGGCACCAGGCUCGCCCCUCAACAGGACCUGCCCUCCAUGAGGUUGUCUCUGCCCAAAUCUCCCCCUCAGCUGACUGCAGUCCUCCAGAGGCCAAGCAGAGAGCUGCUACCCGUGGGCCCCUUGGUUUCCUCCCCUCUCGAAGGGUCUCCUUCCCACAGCCCCUGGGAGCCUGUCUUUCCUCUGGUCCUGUGACAGGCAGAAUCCCCAAACCUCAUCCCGCCCAGGUCACUGAGUGAUACAGGCAUGCGGAGGCCCCACGCUCUGCCCAGUUCAGUGUCUCCCAGGUCAGUGUGAGGCUUGACCUCCCCACACCAGGUGUCCCCUCCCCUGUCCCACAGCUGUGACUUCAGGAGCAAGAUGCACUCAGGUAGACCACACACUGUUCUGUGAGAAUGAAACCCAAGCCGCUUGCUAGGAGCCCCAUAUCUGUGUUUAUUUUACAUCAAAUACAUAUGAUUCCCCGCUUUUGUGACCCCACCUGACCCCGUUCCUUCCGGGUCUGCUCUCCACCGGACCCGGGUUGCAUGCUUGAGUGUGGGCCUUGCCAACGGCCUCAGACUGGCUGAGCCUCUGCAGAUGACCCUCCCCUGGGCCCGACGUUGCCUUUGUACCUACUCGGGGUAGUGCUAGGCUGUCCCAAAUGGGCCACACCUGGGCCUCUCAAGUCCUAAAGUCAGCUGGCCUUGACCCUUCCAGCCACCUAAGUGCGGAGCUCCCAGGGUCAGGGCUGGCUGCCCCAGGCACCUGUGGGCUUGGCCCCUGAUGGGUGGGCCUCCCUUCACACGGUGCUGGAGAGCAGGGGAGCCUGGUUCAGCCUUGACUCUCCCUCUAUCCCUCCCCUUUACUCCCUCCUGCAGCCAUGUUCCGGAAAGUGCCGUGUGCUUGACUGCUUGGGUCUUGGGAAUCUCACAGUCCUGCCAAGGCCUGGCCACUGGCCCUCCCUGGCUGCCCCUUCCCGGGGGUUCUCAGGUCCUCAGCAACAUCCCUCACUCCCUCCGUGGCCAGCAGCCUGAUCCCUGCUUUUCCUCGGUUCUCAUCGGGGAUUCUUGAUCGGGUUCUAGAGGUUGGGAAGUCCAAGAUCAAGGCGUUGGCAGAUCCAUUGUCUGAGAGAGCCUCUCCCUGCCCCAGUCUCUCCCUCGGAUUUCUGCAUCUGCCCAGGCCCUGAGUCCAUCCUUGCCUCCUGCCUGGCAGUGCAGGGCAGCCUAGGGGAAAGGGCGGACAGGAGGAGCAGAGAUGACAAGCAGAAAGAAACAGCCAGGAGUGGGGUCUGGCCUGCAGACAGACGAGGCACGAGGGGUGAGAAAGACUCCCUCCUUGACCCAACUUGUUAUCUGAACCUCAUCUCAAUUAGGCCUUGAUUUUUUGGCUUCCAUGUCUGUCUUUGCAUCACCCAGUUUUAGCAAAAAUCCCAUCAAGUCGGUUUAGCCAGAAUCUCCAUCCUCGAUAUUUGAUCACCCUCCAUAUCUGAUCGAAGUCUCCCCACACCAUCCCCAGGAGAGUUCUGGUCACCCUGGCCUGCCUUCAGCAAGAAUCCAGUAGGGUCUGUUUAACCAGA
Molecule: long non-coding RNA, 2542 nt
Organism: Equus asinus (donkey)
Lineage: Eukaryota; Metazoa; Chordata; Mammalia; Perissodactyla; Equidae
Source: Ensembl